GGGCACGGCCCAUCAGGUAGUUGGCGGGUUAAAGGCCCGCCAAGCCGAAGACGGGUAGGGGCGGUGAGAGCCGCGAGCCCCGAGAUCGGCACUGAGACAAGGGCCGAGGCCCUACGGGGUGCAGCAGGCGCGAAUACUCCGCAAUGCGGGCAACCGCGACGGGGCUACCCCGAGUGCCGGGCGAAGAGCCCGGCUUUUGCCCGGUCUAAAAAGCCGGGAGAAUAAGCGGGGGGCAAGUCUGGUGUCAGCCGCCGCGGUAAUACCAGCUCCGCGAGUGGUCGGGGUGUUUACUGGGCUUAAAGCGCCCGUAGCCGGCCCGGCAAGUCGCUCCUGAAAUCCCAGGGCUCAACCCUGGGGCGGGGGGCGAUACUGCCGGGCUAGGGGGCGGAAGAGGCCGCCGGUACUCCGGGGGUAGGGGCGAAAUCCGUUAAUCCCCGGAGGACCACCAGUGGCGAAAGCGGGCGGCCAGAACGCGCCCGACGGUGAGGGGCGAAAGCCGGGGGAGCAAACCGGGCUCAGGUCGGCGUUGCGCAGACAAUCUGAUCAUCCAGUCCCACCACGCGCGCCAACCCCCUCAUCUUUACCAAGCCGACCUGGCCCGGGCUCAAAGGGGAUUAGAUACCCNUGUAGUCC
This 633-nucleotide ribosomal RNA is filed under the name uncultured prokaryote. RNAcentral's name for it is "bacterial SSU rRNA". It matches the Rfam family "Archaeal small subunit ribosomal RNA", at positions 213 to 747 of the family's 1478-position model. The record is from RNAcentral.